ACGAACGCUGGCGGCGUGCUUAACACAUGCAAGUCGAACGAGAGGACAAGAGAAGCUUGCUUCUUUUGGAAUCGAGUGGCAAACGGGUGAGUAACACGUAAACAACCUGCCUUCAGGAUGGGGACAACAGACGGAAACGACUGCUAAUACCGAAUACGCUUGGGAGACCGCAUGAUCUACCAAGGAAAGGGUGGCCUCUACCUGUAAGCUAUCGCCUGAAGAGGGGUUUGCGUCUGAUUAGGCAGUUGGUGAGGUAACGGCCCACCAAACCUACGAUCAGUAGCCGGUCUGAGAGGAUGAACGGCCACACUGGAACUGAGACACGGUCCAGACUCCUACGGGAGGCAGCAGUGGGGAAUCUUCCGCAAUGGGCGAAAGCCUGACGGAGCAACGCCGCGUGAGUGAUGACGGCCUUCGGGUUAGUAAAGCUCUGUGAUCGGGGACGAACGGUCCGUAAGCUAAUACCUUAUGGAAGUGACGGUACCCGAAUAGCAAGCCACGGCUAACUACGUG
This 513-nucleotide ribosomal RNA is filed under the name uncultured bacterium. Its description in RNAcentral is "bacterial SSU rRNA". It matches the Rfam family "Bacterial small subunit ribosomal RNA", at positions 29 to 507 of the family's 1533-position model. The record is from RNAcentral.